CUGUGUGUCUAUGAAGACCAAUCCAUGGCAGACCCUCUUCAUUUUAGCAGUGGACCACCACAGUCUGAUCCAAAGCCACAGACACACAGACCAGUGUCUCCAGUGCCCAGCUGUGUGUCUAUGAAGAGUGACUGGUCCAUGCCAUACACUCUUCCCAAUUUCAGCAGUGGACCACCACAGUCUCAUCCAAAGCCACAGACACACAGACCAGUGUCUCCAGUGCCCAGCUGUGUGUCUAUGAAGAGUGACUGGUCCAUGCCAUACACUCUUCCCAAUUUCAGCAGUGGACCACCACAGUCUCAUCCAAAGUGAGUUGUCAGCUAUUAUAUUUUACAUUUUUACAUUUUACAAAUACACAUAUGUACAAAAGUGGA
Clupea harengus (Atlantic herring) is the source of this 374-nucleotide long non-coding RNA. NCBI's taxonomy places the organism in Eukaryota, Metazoa, Chordata, Actinopteri, Clupeiformes, Clupeidae. The record is from Ensembl.